UUGUCAGUGAGGUUAAUCCUUACCUGUUCCUCCAUAAUGGAGAAAUAGACAUGAUGAAUGGAGGAGACUGAGUUUGUGAUUACAUCAAUCUCCCACACUGCCCUGACUGACAACUCAGGGUGUGUGACAUUCUGAC
This is a small nucleolar RNA of Hyla sarda, 136 nucleotides long. RefSeq annotates it as U8 small nucleolar RNA. Lineage: Eukaryota; Metazoa; Chordata; Amphibia; Anura; Hylidae. The record is from RefSeq and is a predicted model, not a curated record. The transcript has a single exon.